GGACCCGCACAAGCGGUGGAGCAUGUGGUUUAAUUCGAAGCAACGCGAAGAACCUUACCAAAUCUUGACAUCCUUUGAAAACUCUAGAGAUAGAGCCUUCCCCUUCGGGGGACAAAGUGACAGGUGGUGCAUGGUUGUCGUCAGCUCGUGUCGUGAGAUGUUGGGUUAAGUCCCGCAACGAGCGCAACCCUUAAGCUUAGUUGCCAUCAUUAAGUUGGGCACUCUAGGUUGACUGCCGGUGACAAACCGGAGGAAGGUGGGGAUGACGUCAAAUCAUCAUGCCCCUUAUGAUUUGGGCUACACACGUGCUACAAUGGACAAUACAAAGGGCAGCUAAACCGCGAGGUCAUGCAAAUCCCAUAAAGUUGUUCUCAGUUCGGAUUGUAGUCUGCAACUCGACUACAUGAAGCUGGAAUCGCUAGUAAUCG
This 428-nucleotide ribosomal RNA is filed under the name uncultured bacterium. RNAcentral's name for it is "bacterial SSU rRNA". It matches the Rfam family "Bacterial small subunit ribosomal RNA", at positions 917 to 1344 of the family's 1533-position model. The record is from RNAcentral.